ACGUACUGGAGCCGCCGGCCUUGUCCUCAGUGUGGCCGGAAGACGACUCGGGGCUGCUGCUGCUCUCGGGGCGCCGCCGCCGCUCUUUCUCCUCUGCUGCCGCCGCCGUCUCCCGGCAGCCGCCGCCGCCGCCGCUGUCCGAACUUGAAGUUGUCGGCGCGCCCGUUGCAGCCGCCGCCGCCGCCGCCGCGGAGGUCGCCGUGGCCGCCGGGGGCCCCUUCUCGGCGCUCUUGUCCCCGGGGUAGUCGGAGGAGGCGAGGUUUUCCGGGGUGCCGUAGGCUGUCUCGAAAAACUGGUCGAAAGCCUGUGGCAGGACGCCGUUCCUGCCCACGGUGCUAUAGAAAUUGGACGAGACGGCGGGGGUGGGGUGGUGGUAGACGUUGGCCGAGCUCUUGGCCAGCACGUCGCCAGGCACGCCGGCCGCGCUGGGCGCCUGCAGGCAGUCUCUGUGCACGAGCUCCUCCGCGGAGUAGCAGUGGGCCAGAUUGCCGCGGGGGUGCCAUUUAGUGGCGGGCUCAAUGGCGUACUCUCUGAAGGUCACUUCGCGCACGGGUUGGACCUGGGGCAGGUUGGAGGAGUAGGAGUAUGUCAUUGGGCGCGAAGACGGGGUCUGGGGCAGAAAAGAAGGGAGGCUGGAGAAAUCUGGACCCGAGACGUAGUAAGUACAACUUGGCAAAUACAUGUUAGAGGAGCAGGGACCACGCUCAUCAAAAUCCAUUAUUGGGCUACCUUGGGCUCUCCGCAGUAGCCGAGCUUAACAUGAUUCUCCACUGCAGCUGCCUCUUUGAAGCGGAUCCGUGAAGUAGAAAUUUGGAGACGUAAGCUGACGUGGAAAUCUAUCCCCAUCCUUAGCAGGGAGGUGCUGGUCAUGUGACCCGAUGUUGAAAUUGACAAGCUGCGAGCUAGUCCGGGCCUUUUUUCCCCCCCUUUCCUUUUUUUUUUUCCUCCCCUCCCCUCCCUCCCGGCUUCCUUUCUUUGUAGCCACCUCAGGGGAAGCAACAGAUCGUCACUCGGUGUUCUCACCGAAAGCACGUAAUCGCCGGUGUAACUCAUGUUGGCUGGGGGGCCUCCCGGCGCGCGCGGAGAGCCUGGGGUGCGCCCCCAUGCAGCAUGCUUGUGCUCAAUUGCAGGGUCCUCGUUCUCGAGUGUGCAGAGGGCGGUGAGAGCUCAACUCUCGUCCCCACCUCCCACCCGCAGCUCCCCGGGUGGGUGAGGGAUGCCCUGGACUGGGGAUAGCCAGGGAGUCCGUCGCUGUGUGGCCUGUGGUCUCGGAGUCUGUUCUCCUGGAGGCUCGCAUUUGCACCCCCUUCUUCGCAGUCCCCCUCCCAUAGACUUGCUCUGGGAAGCGCCUCUGCCUCCGACCCUAGCCGGAACCCCUUCGGGGCCAGAGUUUGAAGCCGUGGAUGUGCCUGCCUGGUGGCUUGUCCGAUUUGCACGGUGACUUGAUUACACUCUCUCAUUCAUGGUCACUUCCGAAGCGCUUUAGUGCCUUCCGUCCCUAAACCGCCAACAGCCAGAACGGCUUCUCUCCGCGGUUUGUCACUGAUCCGCAGGGCCCGGAAGGGCCUUCGUCUUACCCGGGAUCCACCUCUCCCCUCAUCUUCCCUGCCUGCCUCUUCAUCCCACCUUCUGUCCUUGGAGAAACCCCCUCCUCCUCGCUGCCUGCCGGGCUUCGGAGUGACUCGGCAGAGACAGAGGCACAGGGGCUGCCCUGCUGCUCAACAGUCCACCCAUCUGCCUGGUCUUCUGGAGCUGAGGACUCGGGAAACCAUGCAAUUGAGGCAAGCCUUGGGCUGCUUUAGAGGCGCUGACAUCCGAGGAGACUUCUCCUGGGAUUGAAGGAGCAAUGUUUGGAGGAAGCGAAAGAAGGGAGAGGACACAGAGCACAGAGCAGCCAGGCAGAGCCAGGAGCUGAGAAGGGCCCAGACCUGAGGCCUCCCAACAACUCUCUUCUUGGAAGGAUCUGGGGUGUUGCUGAAGGAAAAUAAAAAAAUAUGUAAAAAGAUAACCUUUUGCUUUUCCCUCUCCAGGAAAUAGCCAAAGUUAUUUACAUAUCUUGGGGAGAUUUAGAGUAUAAACUCUAAGAUCUUUGGUAUUUAAGUGUCAACAUCGAUUUAUUUAUUUAUUGCUGAGCUGACUGUAACUGACUCAAUAACAAAUCUAAUCAUGUAUUGCACUGGAAAAGAAAUAUUCUUAUUAUGUAUUUUCUCCAAAUAAUGGCCUACCAUUGCAUUUGAAUACCUGCUGUAAAUAUCAAUAAUAUGAAGUAAUUACUCUGUAGUCGAGUAAACUAAUUUAUUAGCAUUAAUGUUUAUGUGGCUCUCCACCUCCCCCCACCACCUUUACAAGGAUUGCUUAUCACAAAUCAAGCUACCUGGACACAUUGGUUUAAUGAACUCUUUAUUCAAGAUUUGCUACAAGAACUUUCAUGUCCUUUGAAUCCCUGAGAACUGAACUUGAAAUUAUUUGUGCAUCUUCAGCCUGACAUAUUUGUCCACUGUGGCUUGUCCAGAGGGCAGCAGUGCUGUGAGUGAGAAGGUCCAGUGGGAAGGAAGGUUAUUGGAGAAGAGUAGCCUCAGACCUCCUAAAGCUGGGAAGCACAUUUACAGAAUUGCCCUGCAGCGAAAAAACUUCUAUUUCCAGCAGUGACCAACAAGGCAAAAUGUUUGUUUCUCCACAGCAUCUCUUUUUUAGAGACAGAAUAUAAAAGACAGAAGGAGAGGUUUCAAACAGCGGUAUUCGAGCUGUUCCCUGGCUUGAUUUUGGCUAUCCCAAGCUCUCUCUCUGCAGCCCACCCAGUCCACGCCACCCCUACCUUCGAACAAAAGGAAUGCAUGAAGGGUUUCAGUGACUUUGCCAUAACAAAGGCGCCACCAUUGCGGGGCUCGCCCCGCCCCUGGGUGAAGGCAAACAAAUUCUUGCACUUGUAUUAGGGCUUUUAAGACCAUAAUUGAACCCGGGGGCGUCUAGGAAAACCGAAAACAGUUCUAGACAGACCUGCGGUUUUAUAGCAGUUUUGGCAGUCAACUUCAGCUUGUGCCUGAGCAGACGGGGCUGUGGUGGCCCGCCAGCGGGGGAUGCCAGGCCACCUCCCCCAGCGGCACGCAGCCCCUCUCUUAAUUAGAUCGGUUUUCCCCUGGUGUCCGGGAGAGCGGUCCCGGCAGAAAGGUCGGUAUGGGGGUGUGCGCUGUUCCGCAUAACCACUGCCUCCCAUGUCCUCCUCAAGGGCCAAACCGAGAGGGUGCUGGCAGGGCUGGAUCCCACGGGUGUCCGCAGGAGACAAAGGCGAAUUCCGGAGAAAAGGCUGGGGCUGAGAAAGGCGCUCCGGGAGCGGCUGGCAGGGCAAUUCGGCAGGCUGCACCGAAGCCGGGUGCCCGGAGGGACUUGCCGCCCGGAAGGGGGUGUGUGGGGGCGCUGCCGUGAAGAUGGAUGAGGGAAAAGGUUUUUGAUAUCAGCAGAAGGGAAAACGCCUGGAGUGGCCGAACACUUUUAGUUGCCCAGCAGGAAUAGGAGACGGGUACUCAGCUCCCCAAGGCUGCGCAAUGUCCCAGCUUUGCCCGCUCCUGCCCUCGUGUUCGGAAUAUGCUGGCGGUGUGAAUGUGAAGGUUUCUCCAGGCAGGCGGCUGGGGUGAGGGGUGGGCGCAGCUCUGAGGAUCAGACCAAAUCUAGGGGAAAAACGGGAGGCAGACCUUCGGGUCCUUGGUUUUGACUUUGCUCUGAGCCUAUGAUUGACUCUUCCGCUUUGCAGGAGGUCCAACAGCCGAGCUUAGCCCACCGGGCUCUGGGAAAGAUCCGACCGAGGCUAAAGCCGCCCCGGAAGGCCAAGUCCGAGUUCCAUUUCUUGAAGAGGCCGGCGCGCGUAAGGCUGUGACAUUGGCCCUGGCGACUGGCUUCCCAGGAGCUGUUCUUUCUCAGGAGCUCCACAGCGCGGGCCAUCUCCAGAAAACUGUCUUCAGAGUGUAUUUCCUUUUAUCGUCAACCCAGAGCCCCACCGCGGCUAACGCAAGAGGCCAAAAAAUGUUUGGAGGAAGAAAAACAAAGGCAGGAAGUGGCGGCGGCCUGACGGUGCGUGUGUGUCUGCAGAGAAGGGAGGGAGCCGGCUCAGUCUCUUCUUGUUUUUCCAAACUUCAAGGUCCAGGCAGCCCUCUGCAGGGCCGGGCCCCAUCGCUCCCCGCGCGGCAUUGGAGGUGGCCACCCGGAGAGGAGAAGGCCAACGCCUGCGCCAGGCUUGUCAGGCGGAAACGGCUAACAAGGAGAUUUGGUCAGCAAAACAGACCGAGCCUUUCCGAGGCUUCGUCUGACUUGGCCCGAAAGGUUGGGGAGGGGGGGUUUGCGCAGAGCCUCAGGGACCCUCCUCUCUGGGGACUACCAUCCCUGAGCCUUACGCUUCGUUCCACCGCCUUUGCAGGCGGAAUAUCGGAAUAAAGUGGGUCCAGGCGCC
Long non-coding RNA from Gorilla gorilla gorilla (western lowland gorilla), 4441 nucleotides. RefSeq lists it as uncharacterized. Lineage: Eukaryota; Metazoa; Chordata; Mammalia; Primates; Hominidae. The record is from RefSeq and is a predicted model, not a curated record. The transcript has 2 exons.